UACAGAGGUCUCAAGCGUUGUUCGGAUUCAUUGGGCGUAAAGGGUGCGUAGGCGGCGCGGUAAGUCGGGGGUGAAAUCUCGGAGCUUAACUCCGAAACUGCAUUCGAUACUGCCGUGCUUGAGGACUGGAGAGGAGACUGGAAUUUACGGUGUAGCGGUGAAAUGCGUAGAUAUCGUAAGGAAGACCAGUGGCGAAGGCGGGUCUCUGGACAGUUCCUGACGCUGAGGCACGAAGGUCAGGGGAGCAAACGGG
This 253-nucleotide ribosomal RNA is filed under the name uncultured bacterium. RNAcentral's name for it is "partial 16S ribosomal RNA". It matches the Rfam family "Bacterial small subunit ribosomal RNA", at positions 524 to 776 of the family's 1533-position model. The record is from RNAcentral.